Molecule: transfer RNA, 75 nt
Filed under: Bacteroidota bacterium
Lineage: Bacteria; Pseudomonadati; Bacteroidota
Description: tRNA-Val
Rfam family: tRNA
About the family: Transfer RNA (tRNA) molecules are approximately 80 nucleotides in length. Their secondary structure includes four short double-helical elements and three loops (D, anti-codon, and T loops). Further hydrogen bonds mediate the characteristic L-shaped molecular structure. tRNAs have two regions of fundamental functional importance: the anti-codon, which is responsible for specific mRNA codon recognition, and the 3' end, to which the tRNAs corresponding amino acid is attached (by aminoacyl-tRNA synthetases). tRNAs cope with the degeneracy of the genetic code in two manners: having more than one tRNA (with a specific anti-codon) for a particular amino acid; and 'wobble' base-pairing, i.e. permitting non-standard base-pairing at the 3rd anti-codon position.
Source: RNAcentral
GGGCUGUUAACUCAGUCGGUUUAGAGUGCUAUCUUCACAGGGUAGAAGUCACUGGUUCGAGUCCAGUACAGCCCA